RNAcentral lists this transfer RNA (72 nucleotides) under Chitinophagales bacterium. RNAcentral describes it as "tRNA-Arg". It matches the Rfam family "tRNA". Rfam says of the family: Transfer RNA (tRNA) molecules are approximately 80 nucleotides in length. Their secondary structure includes four short double-helical elements and three loops (D, anti-codon, and T loops). Lineage: Bacteria; Pseudomonadati; Bacteroidota; Chitinophagia; Chitinophagales. The record is from RNAcentral.
GGCUCCGUAGUAUAAUGGAUAGAAUGGAAGAUUCCGGUUCUUCAGAUGGCGGUUCGAUUCCGCCCGGGGCUA